This 752-nucleotide ribosomal RNA is filed under the name uncultured bacterium. RNAcentral describes it as "bacterial SSU rRNA". It matches the Rfam family "Bacterial small subunit ribosomal RNA", at positions 8 to 796 of the family's 1533-position model. The record is from RNAcentral.
AGAGUUUGAUCAUGGCUCAGAACGAACGCUGGCGGCAGGCUUAACACAUGCAAGUCGAACGAUGUUCGUCCUUCGGGGCGGGCAUAGUGGCGCACGGGUGAGUAACGCGUGGGAACCUGUCCUAUGGUUCGGGAUACCUCCGGGAAACUGGAGUUAAUACCGGAUGUCUCCUGAGGGGGAAAGAUUUAUCGCCAUAGGGUGGGCCCGCGUCCGAUUAGCUAGUUGGUGGGGUAAAGGCCUACCAAGGCUUCGAUCGGUAGCUGGUCUGAGAGGAUGAUCAGCCACACUGGGACUGAGACACGGCCCAGACUCCUACGGGAGGCAGCAGUGGGGAAUAUUGGACAAUGGGGGCAACCCUGAUCCAGCCAUGCCGCGUGAGUGAUGAAGGCCUUCGGGUUGUAAAGCUCUUUCGACGGGGACGAUGAUGACGGUACCCGUAGAAGAAGCCCCGGCUAACUUCGUGCCAGCAGCCGCGGUAAUACGAAGGGGGCGAGCGUUGUUCGGAAUUACUGGGCGUAAAGGGCGCGUAGGCGGCGCACCAAGUCAGGCGUGAAAGCCCUGGGCUUAACCCAGGAACUGCGUUUGAGACUGGUGUGCUGGAGUGCAGGAGAGGUCGGCGGAAUUCCCAGUGUAGAGGUGAAAUUCGUAGAGAUUGGGAAGAACACCGGUGGCGUAGGCGGCCGACUGGACUGUAACUGACGCUGAGGCGCGAAAGCGUGGGGAGCAAACAGGAUUAGAUACCCUAGUAGUCC